Molecule: ribosomal RNA, 857 nt
Filed under: uncultured Gammaproteobacteria bacterium
Lineage: Bacteria; Pseudomonadati; Pseudomonadota; Gammaproteobacteria
Description: bacterial SSU rRNA
Rfam family: Bacterial small subunit ribosomal RNA
Source: RNAcentral
ACGCUGGCGGCAGGCCUAACACAUGCAAGUCGAACGGAAACAUGUCUAGCUUGCUAGAUGAUGUCGAGUGGCGGACGGGUGAGUAAUGCUUGGGAACUUGCCUUUGCGAGGGGGAUAACAGUUGGAAACGACUGCUAAUACCGCAUAAUGUCUUCGGACCAAACGGGGCUUCGGCUCCGGCGCAAAGAGAGGCCCAAGUGAGAUUAGCUAGUUGGUGAGGUAAAGGCUCACCAAGGCAACGAUCUCUAGCUGUUCUGAGAGGAAGAUCAGCCACACUGGGACUGAGACACGGCCCAGACUCCUACGGGAGGCAGCAGUGGGGAAUAUUGCACAAUGGGGGAAACCCUGAUGCAGCCAUGCCGCGUGUGUGAAGAAGGCCUUCGGGUUGUAAAGCACUUUCAGUUGUGAGGAAAAGUUAGUAGUUAAUACCUGCUAGCCGUGACGUUAACAACAGAAGAAGCACCGGCUAACUCCGUGCCAGCAGCCGCGGUAAUACGGAGGGUGCGAGCGUUAAUCGGAAUUACUGGGCGUAAAGCGCACGCAGGCGGUUUGUUAAGCUAGAUGUGAAAGCCCCGGGCUCAACCUGGGACGGUCAUUUAGAACUGGCAGACUAGAGUCUUGGAGAGGGGAGUGGAAUUCCAGGUGUAGCGGUGAAAUGCGUAGAUAUCUGGAGGAACAUCAGUGGCGAAGGCGACUCCCUGGCCAAAGACUGACGCUCAUGUGCGAAAGUGUGGGUAGCGAACAGGAUUAGAUACCCUGGUAGUCCACACCGUAAACGCUGUCUACUAGCUGUUUGUGGCUUUAAGCCGUGAGUAGCGAAGCUAACGCGAUAAGUAGACCGCCUGGGGAGUACGGCC